CAUCAUAUCAUGAAGUGACACAAUUGCUGCUGAGAAGAAAAAGGAAUGAUGAAUUUUUCCAGAAGUACAGUUUAAGGCAACAAACACAUCUGGUACCACACAGAGAAACUUGCCCUCAAUUGCCAGACCAUGCUACCUGAGAUCCCAUACCUAAGUGCCUGACAACUGGGAUGGGAGAAAAGUAUUAAUAAGAUCAGUCUCCCUCCGGCAGUCUGGAUAAAGCUGGGAAAGUCUGUUACAAGGUCUCCCUUGUCUCUUGGUUAGGGAAAAGCAUGUCUCACUGCUACUUUCUUGCCUAUUCAGAAGGAAGGAAAGAAGCAAGAAAGCAGCAAGCAAGCAAGGGGAAAAAAACGAGCAAAACAGAGAAGUUCUGUUGAGGUCAUGUUUCACUCCAUUCAGAGGCUAAUGCUGUUCCAGGGACUGGGAAGAAUUUCAAAGAACAAUGCAUUUCUUAACUAUGCUUUUCCCGCUGUUGAUUUUCUCACUUCAUUUGAGUUUUUCAUCAGUCAGCAGAAAGGCAGAGAGCUGGGCAGCUGGAGGGGAAAAGAGGAGGAAUGCUGCCUUUACUGAUAGCUGAAGAGUGGCAGAGAGAAGGGCGUCUUUCCUAUUCCGGUCAUGCAGAAAGUGGUGCGCAUUACUGUAGGAGUGACAAUAUCAGAGACUGAACAUGACAAAUACGCCCAUCGAUAUAUUCCUUGGAGGUACACAUCAGCAACCUUGUUAAGUAAGAAGUUAUGCAUGUAUGUCUUCAUUCUCUCCAUGUUGAUGCAACCCGUACAAACACAGAGAUGAAAGAGGAAAAAGAUAAACAAGAGGAACAAGCUGAAAGACAUAAAAGUGUUAAGAUUUAUGUACAUUUCCAUAAAUUCAAUUCUAAAUUAAACUGUUCUUUUAUUUCCUCUCUUUUUAGAGUAGUUUAACUCCCAUUCUGUCCGUUUUUUAUCCUUAUGUCAAGAAAGGUUCGGUGCUUGUUUCAUCUGAAUCAUUUUAUAUAGGUAUAAUGGUUAGAUAAAUUUGACCAACACUUACUAGAAUAGUUUGAUUUUUAAGAAUGUAUUUAAAGUUCAUUUCUCUAUAACAGAGCAAUUAUCUCAAAGUACGUGGCAAUAGCUGGCAUUAGCUGCUCAGCAUAAUUUACAAUAUACUGAGAAGACAAAAAUUGAUGCCUGUUUUCUUUUUUUAUAGCAAUUUUUGUAAUGAAAUAUUUUCUUUCACACUUCCUAAGAAAGUAGCUUUCAUAAGCAUUCUGAAGUGCCAUCCUCAAACAAAGGAUUUAUAAGCCAAUUGAAGGAACAUGCUUACUGUAAAAUAAAUGAGUGGCUUUUUUAUGAAGGGGAGCAUAACAUGCCUUUUCAUUUGAUGAGCUCUAAAAGAAUCAUUUGGAACAUAUGACGAUUUUGGCAAGACAGCAACCUGUGCAACUUACCUGCUGAGUGACUGAAAACUAAGAAUAAAUAAUAUCAUGUUCUUCCUAGGUACUGUAGAAAAGAUUGCCUAAAUACAGGACUACAUGCCAAAAGUGGAGCUUGACCAGAGUUUGGUACCAAAAUGUUCACAGAGAAAUGCUGAUUCAAAACUUUUGAAGUCCAAGCCUGAGGGUGCCAGUGCUCCAAAACCUGCUGAUUUAUUUUCUUCUUUCAAGCAUUUUGAGUCGCACCUCUGCUCGUCCUUGGUACUAUCCCAGGGUAAGCAGCUUAAUACCAUGUCCCCUCUAGUGGUAAAACGUGUCAUUUAUUUAUCCUAGUGUGCCAGUCUGGAAGGUAUCCUGCAACACCCACUUAGGAGACAGGCUGCCACAAAAUGCCUUUGUGGUCAGUAUUUUUUAUGCCACCAAAAUUGUGGUUUAUCAUUCAAUCUACUUUUUGCUUAAGAGAUUAGUGAUUAAAGGUUGAUGAUGUGCUCAGUGACUUUGUAUGAGAAGGAAAUUCAUUAAUCAGUAGCAAAAUCAGACUCUUUCUUAUCUUCCAUUUUUCUUGCUCUAUACAUCUUUAGUUUUUACAUUGAAUGUUGGCACAGCUCCUUCAAGGCACACAGAGAGAUCUUUCACCCAGUAUGGGCUAUAUCCUGGAAGUCAGCGCAAUAUCUGAUUAGUAAACAUAGAUGUGAACUACCUUCAGAUUAAUAAAACAAUUAUAUCUAGGUCUCUUACCGCCUCAGUAAGUGCUUUGCCUGUCAUGCUCCUGCAUAAAGAGAGGAAAGGGGGAGUUUCCAGCAGAUGGGUUUCUAGAGAAAUGUUUGACCUCUGCUUGGUUCUUUGAGGGAAAAUACCUACUUCUGCAAAUCUGAGGGAUGGAUCACAAGUGCAGGAUCUUAGAUUUGUGCUUGUACUUGACAUUUCCUUAUUGACAGCUCUAGCAUGACCCUUUGCUCAACACAGUAGCUCCUCUAAAUCCUAUCCAGAGACAUUUACCUCUUGUAGGAACAGUGUGCACUGUUCAGAGAGGCUUGGCACCAGCGCUGCAUAUUCCACACUGGGGUGAAUGUGCAGAAGGUAGAGAUUGUAGUGCCUAAUUGUAAGCAUCUAUUUAUUUCAUUGAAUUUCAUUUUACUGCCAUCUUUGCUGCAGAAUUCCUCAAGGCUCAGCUUUUUUUUUGUUUUUUUGGCCUUUGUAUGUCAUAUUUUAAGUAACUCUCUUAACUAGUCUAGAAUGCAUACACUAAAGAAAACUUUUCUGUAGUAAUUCAAACAAAAUAUGUAAUAUGUUGCUCUGUUCUUCUUUUAAAAAUAUUUCCUGCAAUGAGCCUGCCUCUAUUGCCGUGAUCACAACAACCUUAUUUUUAUUGUUUGCUGUUCAAUCUGUUGCUUGUUGUAACAACUUGCCUUUUUUCCCAUGCUUCCAGUGUGCACUUUUCAUGAUAAAGAUCAUUAUUUGUUGUGUUUUCAUAAAACACGGAAAAAAGUGAUCCGGGAGCUGCUAGGUAUUCUUGUAAAAUAACUAAUGAUGAUAAUAGUUAGGAUAUCUCAACUAGUAUUAUGCCUAAAAUGGUAGUGACUGAACUAUUAACUUGAAAACAGAAACCAUCUCUGUACAGUCAGUACAGUAUAGUAACAGAAAGCAAUAAAAUGAUAUUUUAAUUAGCGUUUCAGAGUAUGUAGCACCUAUGUGGAAGUAGUCUCUGAGGGACUUACCAUAGUUUCAACAACGUAUUGAAGCUUCCCUUCCCUGAAGGAAGUCUGUCAUUAGAGGCAAGGCAUGAAGUUGAUAAUGAAUUCCCUAAGUACCCAAGUAAAGAGAGAUUUCAUGUCUUUGAAAGAAUCCCACCGGUACUGUCUCGCUUGUGCUUGUCAGCAAAAAGCACUAACUGAUGCCUCUUCUCUAAGUAAGAUAGUCUGGAAGUUGGCUUAAGAAAGAGCGAGAUACUGUGUUUGCAACUAAAAAGAUGAAGCAGAGAAAAAUUUAUGUUGGUCCUCCAACGCUGAGUUUUUGUCAUGGAUCUCUGUUCUUCAUUAGUCCUUUCUCUCCUUUUAGCUUCACCUAUCUUAGUAAAUACUUUGGUUACCCAUAUCUGGAUUUGAUGAAGUAUUUCAAUUUAAUGUGAUUCAAACACCUAUUCCAGCACACAAAAAUAAAAAUUCAGGAAAUAGAGUUCACAUAAGCAAGAAACUUAACAAAAUCAUGUCAUCGGUUUCGGUAACUAAGUUUAAGAACAAUUUAUCUGCAGAUGUUCUGCCUGGGUCAGACAGGUGAUCAGACUAGAUGGCCAUUUUGUCUGUAAACCAAUGGGGUAUUCUGCAAGGAGCACUCCAUUACCUGUGAGGAAAAUUUCCAAGUUGUAGAUUAACUCUUCCUGAUCCCGUUUGUCAACGUAUGCAGAUUCUAGAAAAAGUAUUAUAUCAGCUUGCUUAAGGCAGCAUUAGCCCAGGAAUUUCUGUUCUACAUUCUUUCCUUUUUGAGAUAUUUUGUCCCAUAACCUAGCUUAAAUGUCCUUUUCAUUAUUCAUAAUGCAGUUUUUUCCAGAUUAUUUAUUCCCUCUAUUGCACUAAAUCACUGAGCCCAGAGUAUUACUUUUUCCUUUUUUAUUUUUUGAGAACAAAUUUACUCUAAUAUUUUUAAGUUACAACGUGCAAGUGUUUCUGCUUCUGCGUUACCCAGUUACAUACACUUCCCAAAAGUAUGUAUCUACAGGCAUAUAAAGGAGUAGGUUAGACUGAAAAAGUCAAUUAUUUACAGAUGACUUAAAUUCAUUA
This is a long non-coding RNA of Struthio camelus australis, 4188 nucleotides long. RefSeq lists it as uncharacterized. The record is from RefSeq and is a predicted model, not a curated record. Lineage: Eukaryota; Metazoa; Chordata; Aves; Struthioniformes; Struthionidae.